Molecule: ribosomal RNA, 450 nt
Filed under: uncultured bacterium
Lineage: Bacteria
Description: partial 16S ribosomal RNA
Rfam family: Bacterial small subunit ribosomal RNA
Source: RNAcentral
GUGGGGAAUCUUCCGCAAUGGACGAAAGUCUGACGGAGCAACGCCGCGUGAGUGAUGACGGCCUUCGGGUUGUAAAGCUCUGUGAUCGGGGACGAAUGGCUGGUAUGCUAAUACCAUAUCAGAGUGACGGUACCCGAAUAGCAAGCCACGGCUAACUACGUGCCAGCAGCCGCGGUAAUACGUAGGUGGCAAGCGUUGUCCGGAAUUAUUGGGCGUAAAGCGCGCGCAGGCGGCUUCUUAAGUCCAUCUUAAAAGUGCGGGGCUUAACCCCGUGAUGGGAUGGAAACUGGGAGGCUGGAGUAUCGGAGAGGAAAGUGGAAUUCCUAGUGUAGCGGUGAAAUGCGUAGAGAUUAGGAAGAACACCGGUGGCGAAGGCGACUUUCUGGACGACAACUGACGCCGAGGCGCGAAAGCGUGGGGAGCAAACAGGAUUAGAAACCCGUGUAGUCC